GCUAGCUCAGUCGGUAGAGUAUGAGACUCUUAAUCUCAGGGUCGUGGGUUCCUGCCCCACGUUGGGCA
This is a non-coding RNA of Cricetulus griseus (Chinese hamster), 68 nucleotides long. Lineage: Eukaryota; Metazoa; Chordata; Mammalia; Rodentia; Cricetidae. The record is from Rfam.